GGGUAACGGCCCAACAAGCCUUUGAUCGGUACGGGUUGUGAGAGCAAGAGCCCGGAGAUGGAUUCUGAGACACGAAUCCAGGCCCUACGGGGUGCAGCAGGCGCGAAAACUUUACAAUGCUGGCAACAGCGAUAAGGGAACCUCGAGUGCCAGGUUACAAAUCUGGCUGUCGAGAUGCCUAAAAAGCAUUUCAUAGCAAGGGCCGGGCAAGACCGGUGCCAGCCGCCGCGGUAACACCGGCGGCUCGAGUGGUAACCGUUAUUAUUGGGUCUAAAGGGUCUGUAGCCGGCCGGAUAAGUCUCUUGAGAAAUCUGGCAGCUUAACUGUCAGGCUUUCAGGAGAUACUGUCUGGCUCGAGGCCGGGAGAGGUGAGAGGUACUUCAGGGGUAGGGGUGAAAUCUUGUAAUCCUUGAAGGACCACCAGUGGCGAAGGCGUCUCACCAGAACGGACCUGACGGCAAGGGACGAAAGCUAGGGGCACGAACCGGAUUAGAUACCCGGGUAGUCCUAGCCGUAAACGAUACUCGCUAGGUGUCGGCCACGGUGCGACCGUUGUCGGUGCCGUAGGGAAG
Molecule: ribosomal RNA, 572 nt
Filed under: uncultured archaeon
Lineage: Archaea
Description: bacterial SSU rRNA
Rfam family: Archaeal small subunit ribosomal RNA
Source: RNAcentral